AAGCAGCUUCGAGUCUGGAAAAUUUGUUGAAUGUACUGAGCAAUUAGAAUUGUUACCAGGAGAAAAUAUCAAUCUACUUGCUGGAGGAUCAAAAGAAAAAAUAGACAUGAAAAACCUGCUUCGUAACAUGUUAAGUCCAGAUCCAAGGGAACCUCAGAAAUCCAUUGAAGUUCAAUUGUUAAGAAGUUCUGUUUGUUUGGCAACUGCUUUAAACCCGAUAGAACAAGAUCAGAAGUGGCAGUCUAUAACUG
Molecule: long non-coding RNA, 251 nt
Filed under: Homo sapiens (human)
Lineage: Eukaryota; Metazoa; Chordata; Mammalia; Primates; Hominidae
Description: non-protein coding lnc-EXOSC6-1:7
Source: RNAcentral